CAGCCGCCACGGUAAUACAGAGGGUGCAAGCGUUAAUCGGAAUUACUGGGCGUAAAGCGCGCGUAGGUGGUUUGUUAAGUUGGAUGUGAAAUCCCCGGGCUCAACCUGGGAACUGCAUUCAAAACUGACUGACUAGAGUAUGGUAGAGGGUGGUGGAAUUUCCUGUGUAGCGGUGAAAUGCGUAGAUAUAGGAAGGAACACCAGUGGCGAAGGCGACCACCUGGACUAAUACUGACACUGAGGUGCGAAAGCGUGGGGAGCAAACAGGAUUAGAGACCCCAGUAGUCCCUGUCUCUUAUAC
Molecule: ribosomal RNA, 301 nt
Filed under: uncultured bacterium
Lineage: Bacteria
Description: partial 16S ribosomal RNA
Rfam family: Bacterial small subunit ribosomal RNA
Source: RNAcentral